GGCCCCGGAAGUCUCUCAUUCGAACAACGGGCCGAUCAUCACAAUCAAACAUGAGCUCCAAGUCAGGCAGCCUUCCAGGGUACCAUCUCAAGAGCUGCAAAAUGCCCCACAAGGUGAACAUAUCUCUGGUCUGGAUGGACUUUCUGAACUUCUCAACAUGUCCCUGGUGAUUUCGGUCUGCUUUCAGGGCAGUAGAUCUUGAUGGAUCCAUCGGAAGUAGUCAGGGCAGGUCAUGUUGGUUGAUGAAUGGUCAGGAUUUGUGGGGUUGUGUUUGGUGGGGUAGUUUCCAGGGCAGGCUUUGGUGAGGUUGCCUGCACUGCAGUUGAGUGGGUACUCUAAUCUGAUUGGUGCUUUCGUGAAUGAGAGUAAUGACUUCUGGGAGGGAUCACCUGGAAAUGUAGACUGCCAAACAAAUUUUUUAUUUUUGUAGUUAGUGAUCAAAAGCUUGGAUGUAUUUUAAUAUGAUGCACUAUUGUGGUGUACGUUCAGGCCAUGUUAGACAAAACGAGAGGGUAAAUCCGAAAUGUCAAUGUUCUAAUAUUUUAUUCUCAUUCUUAAACACCAAAAAAUAAAAAUAAAUAAAGAAUUAUGCAACAAUUAACCUUGUUGUAAAUUUAAAAAAAAAAAGUUUCCAAAAAUAAUUUUGUCUUAUACUUUCUUUUCUCAAUUUCUUUAGAUUAUCUUUGCUUUUUUUGAAAAUUUUGAGUAAAAGAAAAUAAAUAAGAAAAAAAAACCUAUAAAGUUCUUUCUCUUUGGUUACCAUGAAAAAAAUUUAAAAAUAAAUAAAUAAAUUUAUCAAAAAUACACUUUCUCUCCACUUUUCAACAUUUUUUCACUCUUCAACUUUUUCUACAUUUUUUUUUAAAGAAAAAAAAAUCAUGGUAUCAAAAGUAAGAAAAUGAUUUUCUUUAUAUAUUUUUUUCCUGUUUUUUUAGCACUUUUCAAGAAAGAAAAGUAAUCUAAAUCAUGCUUGAUUUCAAAAAAAAAAUAUUAAUAAUUGAUUUACUAUACAAAAUAUAAAAGAAAAUAAAAUAUUAUUAAAAUUAGUUAAAAAGUUAUACAUAUUCAAAUUAUUUAAUUUUGUAACAAAAGAGGAAAAAUAAUUGAAAUAAAUUUGAAGAAAUAUGCAAAAAUAAUUUAUUUUAAAAAGAUUUAUAUUUUCAAGUUUUUAUCAAUCUAUAAUUUAUAAAUAAAAUUUUAAUGCGUAUUUAACAUUAAUAUCUUUUGGAAAAUAAAAACUCUAAAUGAAAAAUUAAAAUGUGAAUCACCCAAUGGUGAUAUGCAAUGUCACAAAAGCUUACCAAAAAAGUUCUAAUAUUUUUAUUAAAAAUUAGUUUUAGAAAAUAAUAUAUAAAUAAAUGUAAUAAAUAAGAGUAUAGUUUUAUUUAACAAAAAAAUAUAUAUUAAUGUAAAUUAAAAUUUUAUGUCUCAUUUGUAAUAAUUCUAAAAAAUUUAUUAUUUUUUUAUUUAUAUAUUUUAUAAUUUUUUUAAUAUAAAAUUAAAGGAAUAGAAAAUAAAUUAAAAGUGACUUAUCAAUAUCAACCAUGAACUUGUUAUCAAUAUAUUUAAUUUGGUUAGGUUGAUCGAUAUCAACAAAUUACUUUUAAUUGAAUAGAAAAUGUUAAAUAUUUUGAUUUUUUUUUUUUGUCAAAAAAUAAAUAUAACAUUUAGAAAGGGAAUUAAAGAGAAAGAAAAUAGGGACACAAAUAAAGAACAUUUGAAAGGAAAUGAACUCCAUAUUAGUUAUAAAUAUAAAAAUAAUAAAGUAAACAUAAAAAAAAGUUGUUCAUUAAUUUAGCUUAUUUAAUAUUAAAAUGUUGUAAGUUUAUUCAAAAUGAUUCAAUUAAAGAGUCUAUAAAGUGAUUUUAAAUCUAUAGAAGUUUAGUAAAUUAAGUAAAUUAAAAAUAUGUUUUUGAUGCAUAAACCAUAUUAAUUAAUAUAUAAAAACUUUUAUAUUUUAAAAAUGAUAAUUAAACCAAUCAUUAUAUCAAUUAAAAUAAAUAAAUAACUAGUUGGUUUUAAUAGUUCAUUAUUUUUGUUACAUCACUUGUGUCAUUAAUUUUAAUUUUUAUAUCUAUGUCACUUCAUAAUAAUGUUGUUUUAUGGUGACAUGAAACAUUACUCAACCAUAACCUAGAGUUGUUCAUAACAUUGGGAGCCUUGAGCUUAAGAUCUAAAGUGGCUAAUGUCAUACAUAGCUUUGAGUUGUUCAUAGCAUCUAAAGCCAUGAGCUCACAACUCAGAGUCUUUCAUGCCAACCAUAGCAUAGAGCUAUUCAUUGCAUCUAGGCCCUGAGACUAUAAGUCAUAGUCGUUCAUGUCAUCCACAACUCUCAGUUGUUUAUAGCAUUUAGAGCCCUAAGCUCACGACACAAAAUCAUUCAUGUCAACCACAACCCAACAUUGCUCACAGAAUUUAGAGCCCUGAGCUCAUAACCAUGAGUAUCCUAUGUUAUCCAUAGCCCCUAACUUUUCAUAGCAACUAGAGCCUUGAGCUCACAAUCGAGAGUCGUUCAUAUCAACAAUAACCCUCAGUUGUUCAUACUAUCUACAGCGCUGAGCUCAUGACCUGUAGUCUUCGAUGUCAUUGACAACUCUAAGUUGUUCAUAGCAAUAAGAGCCCUAAGCUCACGACCCAAAGUCGUUCAUUUGAACCAUAGCCUAAAUCUAUUCAUAGCAUCUAGAGCUUUGAGCUAACGACCUAGAGUACCUCGUGUCUUCUAUAACCUUGAGUUAUUAAUAGCAUAUAGAGCCUAAGCUCACGACUCGAAGUCGUUCAUGUCAACCAUAACCCAGAGCUGCUCAUAACAUUUAGAGCACUGAGCUCAAGACCUAAAGUGGCUAAUGUCAUCCAUAGCCCUAAGUUGUUCAUAGCAUUUAUAGCCAUGAGCUCACAACUCGGAGCCUUUUAUGCCAACCAUAGCUUAGAGUUGUUCAUUGCAUGUAGGGACCUGAGACCACGAGUCAUAGUUGUUUAUGUCAUCCAAAACUCUGAGUUGUUUAUAGCAUCUAAAGCUUUGAGCUCACGACACAGAGUCAUUCAUGUCAACUACAACCCAACAUUGUUCAUAGCAUUUGGAGCCUUGAGCUCACAACCAAGAGUAUUCCAUGUUAUCCAUAGCCCUUAACUAUUCAUAGCAACUAGAGCCUUGAGCUCGUAAUCGAGAGUCGUUUAUGUCAACAAUAACCCUGAGUUGUUCGUAACAUCUACAAGGUAUCAAGUCCAAUUGCUUAGAGGGGGGGAGGAAUUAACCCAAAAUGUUUCCUUUGAGUUUGAUGUCUGAAUGACCAGCUCCCCCAAACAGAAGUUAAAGUGAAUCCCAUGAAUUACACAAUUGGUAUAUGGAAGAAAACUAAAUUUAGAUGAUUAGCAGAGUAUACAAUUACAUCCAAGAGAUCUUGAUCUAUUUAUUAGUCAACAAUGCUUAUGCAUGAGAAAAUUUACAUGUUUGGUUCCUAAGAAUAAGUAACAUGAAAAGGACACAAAGAGAACUCUUUUCUCAUCUACAUUAUAUACAAAAUUUAGUCAUUUUGCCUUCAGAAUAUUUGCAAUGGUCUCUUCUCCAACACUUCCACUUUCUUCCCAUGUCUCCACUUGCUUCAUCACAUGGUCUUUCUUCUCAAGCACAUCUUUGAGUUCUGCUGAACUAAAGGGAGGAGGCAUGAUGCAUGGACCUGUAUCCGAAGGACUCUUCACCAUGCUUUGGAGCUUAUAAUCCUUCUCCAACCCUUCAACAGCGCAAGCCAUCAUCUCUGGGCAGAACUCCACAGCCAUUGGAGGCACAGUUGGCUUGUAUUUAAGCAGCUUUGCGUACAUGGACAACAGAUGGAACAUGUAGUCAUACACAAAUUUCAUCUUUAUCUCCUCUUGGACGAAGCUGCUCCCCGCCUUUCCUAUCUUCUGUGCCUGCUGGGUGGUAUCAAGGUUAGAAAAUAGAGCAAGAUGGAAAAUUUUCUAAUAGAGAAAUCGAUCUUUCACCUUCUCUGUAUGGUUGUUGCACCAGUCAGUGGCAAACUUGAUGGAUUUGCACAUGUCCUUGUGUUUUAUAGGCCAGUAAUGGACCAGAGGCUGUAAACUUCUUGUGAAGAACUCAUAGUAUUGAGGCUUGACAAGCAGGGUCACAGAAUCACAAGCUAGAAUGUAUUUUUCACUAACUGACCAUGCAAUUCCCUCGGUAUAAAUCUUGUAUCUGGAUCAGUUGAGGGGUCAUGGGAAAAAACACAAAAGAAAGGAAAAAAAUCCUUAAAGUUUCUCCAAAUUCAAUUACUCACCUAUGAGUGCAUUGGCUUGCUAAAUCUGAAGUUUUGAAUCCACUUUGAACCUCUCGACCCCAGUCCUGCAAAUCUGAAGCUAUCAGCACGAUUUAUGUAGUACUGUAACUGAAAAGAUUUGGCCGAGUCAUGAAGGUUUGUUACCAUUAUAUAAAGACGAGCAUUCCAGUCUUGUUCAUCGGUGUUUCUACAUUUGAAAAGCUCUUUUCUGACCACACCCAUCUUGACAUUUCCUUUCCAAUAAGCGUAGGGUUCUCUAUCUAUCCACUUGGUUCUGUAGUUGCCCUCCUUCAGGUCCUUUUUAAAGCCAUUCCAUGGUUUUAUGUUGGUCUCUGGCCUGCACAACCAAAUGUGAAAUUGCAUAAUCUUCCAAAGAACCAUCACAAGAGAAUGGUAGAAGUCUUACCAACCCCAAAAUGACCAGUCCGGGAAGACAAUAUCAUACGUUUCAUCAUCUCCACAGUAAUGAAACAAUGGUGGUGGAACAGUGGCAUCAGGUCCUUGGUAUAAAUGUGUCCUUAUCAUCGGUCUGUCGCGGCAUUCAAACAUCAAAUCGAAGUCCGGAAGCUUCCCCGGAUACAUCCUCAGCAGCUGCAGAAUGCCCCAUAUGGUGAACUCAUCUCUAUUGCGGUUCACCCUCUUGUACUUUUCCACAUAAACCUUGCCAUCAACCACCACAAUCCUGAUACUUGCAGCAGGCCUUGCUUUUUCCACCAUGGCUCUCGUGAUCCCCGUGUCCAUCCAUGGCCUCAGAUCUUCGUAGAUCCACCGAAAGUAUUCUGGGCAGGUCUCACUGGGCGGUUCACCGGGCUCAAAUGCCACCGGUCCAGUAACCGGGCAGGUCUGUGACAUGUUUCCCUCUCUGCAAUUCAGAGAAUACUCAAAUUUCUGACUAUGGAGCUUUGUUGGACUAGUAUUCUUCAAAAAAUCUCCUGUGAGAAUAGACUGGAAGAACAAAAAUUAGAAUCAGAAAAAAGGAAAAUAUUUUCAAGAACUUUCCAUUAAAAAACAUAUGUAUAUAAUAAAACAUAUAAACAUAAAAACAAGAAGAAAGAAACAUCAUGCAUGGGGUGGGUGGAGAAAGAAUUAUGCAGAUGACAGGAUCAACUUACAACAUUAAUGCAUCGGGUGGAAACGAGAGCUCCAAUGAAGAUCAGGAUGAUGGUGAAGAGAGAAACCGUCACGGUAGCACCUUUCUUGAAGGGACCAGCCAAACCAGCUCCAUAAUUUUGAUUAGGAGCCGUCUCUCCCGUAUGGGACAACUUCCUAUUACGAACAACCUUCCCCAUUGCCUUCUCCUGAUCCAAGAUGACCCUCUUUCCACUUCAAUUUGAAAAUGUUCAGAAUUAAUCCUCAAUGAUAGCUCUAAUAUUUUAAAAGCUUAAUUAAGAACGUCAUUGAUCGAACAAUAUAAUUAAGGUACAAAAUUCCGAUAUAAAACUUUUUUUUAUGGUGUAUGUAACGUGGAUACAAAGAAAUACGUUUGUGCUUCUUGGACUACUGGGAAUUAUGUAUAUAGGAGGUCUUAAUUAUCAUUAUAAUUUGGUUAGGUGGGUUCCAAAUACGAAGUUACGCGUCCUAAAUGAUGAAAAAGACUGAUGGUUGAGGGUAUGGUUUUUGACUCUUCAACACAACCUGCUCAUUAUUUCAUAUUAGUUUAUCAAUAUUUGUUAGGUCUCGUUUGGUAAAUAACCAUAAUAAGAGAGAGGUGUGUUAGGGAUGGCGUGGCAGCGAAUUUGUAGAGGAAUCAAAAGUUUGGGGCUUAGAAUUCUGUGUUCGAAGCGAGAGGGUGUGGUUGGUGACUUGACCGGAUGAAGAUGUAAGUCGUGUAACACAUCCACUAGUAUUGACUUCGAUUUUGGGUCUGUUCUUGCGUCCCAUACAGGCUAGAGUAAGCUUCCUUCGUGGAAAUAUUCAUCUCUUUCUUUCUAUAAAUUAUAUUUAAGAAAAAACAAAUUGAAUAGUAAAAUCACAUGGACAAUAUUCUUUCAAAUUCCAAGAAGAUUAUGAGACAAUUUUUUGUAUUACUCUGAGGCCAUAUUUGGUUUUCGAAAAAUAUCAAGAAAAAAAAAUGGUUUUCAUAUAUUUAAUUGUAUCAUAGAAAAUAUAAAAAAAAUCAAAUAUAAUUAAAAUUAGUUAAAAAUUUAUAUAUUUUAAAAGUGAAAUAAAUUUGAAAAAAUAUAUAUAAAAAUAAUUUAUUGACUUUAAAUAUGUUUUUUUUAUUUUCUGGUAACCUAAUAUAGUUUAAGGGUCUAUUUGAAAAAUGCAUUAUUUAUUAAUUGAUGGAAACAAAAGUGUAACUAAUAUUGUACAAUUGAAUUUUAUGUUUGUAAUUAUAUUUUUGAAAAUACUUAUUGAAGAAAAGGAUAUUUUUUAUAUUUUUAGAAAAUUUAAUUCAAUAAGAAUUUAUUCCUUGUAUCAUGUUUACAGAGAAGAAAAAGAUGGUCAUGUGAAAUUUUUAGCUAAUGUAUUAGUAUUAAUAGUCAUGUUGUUGGUAUGGAAAAUAAGGCAUUAAAGAAUGAGAACCAAGCAUUGCUUGAUAAAAAAAAUCCAAUGGAAAAAAGAAGAAUAAAAUUUGUGAUUAACAAAAAAAUUAGAAUCAGCACAUGCUUUGAAUAAUAUCGAAUAAAGUGAAUGUUACGAAAAGAAUUAUCAUUCAAGCACAAAGGCAUUAUAUUCUUGUUUACGUGUUGAAAAAAAAAACAUGGAAUUGACUAUAUUGAUGAAGACAAGACUCUAAUGGAUUUUAAAUUAUUUAUUUAUCAAUUGGGUUUUGUUACAUUGAUUAGAUGUGUCACGUGUAAAACUCAAAUCCUGUUACAUUGUACUCGAUUAUCAUUUAUUUGUAUCAAAUAUGAAAUUAUAAUAUUUUGUAUUUUGGUCUUAUUUAUUUGUAUCUUAGAUUUAUCUAUUUAUAUCCUUAUUUAACGGGUUCAAAUUUUAUAAUGCACUUUUAAAAAAUUUAUAAGAAAAAAAUCUAAGAUAUUGAAUCGGUAUCUAUAAAACUUUAUUUUGUGCUUUCAACGAUUCAGAUUCAAGCAAUUAUUUUGUGAUUAACUAUUUCACGAACUCAAUAAAAAGCAUUCAAAGUCAUGUGAAUUGUUUUCCUUAAAAGCGUACCAUAUUCUUUGUGCCUAACUUUGUUAUCAAUUGGUUAACAUCUUUAGGACUAUAUACGUCACUUUGAAAUUUUAUUUCAAAUCAAUGAUUUCAUUAAUUUUAUUUCAAAAUCAGGAAAAAUGGGAUUUACAUCACUCUUUGAAUUGGUUGACCCAAUAUAUUGAAGACAAAUUGCAGGAUGAAAAAUUCAUAUUCAAUCAGCAUACAAAGAAGAGAAGGCUUUAUAGCUGCUUAUUUUGAUUCUCCCAAUACGCAUGCCCCCACAUCUCCACUUGCCUUGUUAAAUUCUCCUUUUUGUUCAAGAAAGCCCUGAAGGACUCAGGACUAUAGUGUGGAGGCAUGGAACAUGGGGCUGAAUCAGUAGGAGAAUUCACCGUGGAUUCCAUUACAAACUUCUGCAACACCGCGUCUGCACUGCAAUCCAUUGUUUCCAAGCAGAGCUCGACCGCUCCUGGUGGUACUGCUGGCUUGAACUUCAAGAGCUUUGAGUACUCAUUCAACAGAUGAAACAUGUAGUCAUACACAAAAUCCAUUUUUAGAUCCUCGUGAAUGAAGUUGCUUCCUGCCUUACCAAUUUCCUGGGCCUAAGUACACAAUUUCACAAAAUUUUGUUUCCAAGUUCAACUCUUACAAAAAAAAAAAAAAAAAAAUUCACAUCAACAAAUUAUUUUUAAUUCAUGUCACUUCUUUUCCUAACUUUUUUUUUUUUUUUUUGGUGUUUUUCAAAGCAAACAUAACCUAAGAUUUCAUGGGUUACCUUUUCAGGGUGAGUGUUACCCCAUUCAACAGCAAAUUUAAGAUCUCUACACUUGUUUCUAGGCCUAAUGGGCCAGUAGUGCUGCAAUGGCACCAUGCUUCUAGUGAAGAAAUCAUGGUGAUAAGGUUUUGUCAGAAGUGUCAUGGAGUCGCAUGCUAGGACGUAUUUUUCACUCACAGACCAUCCCCAUCCUUCUACAUAGAUCUUGUACCUUCAUGUGAAUAUAGCCCACAAGAAAAUUUCAAAAUUUUCUCAAGAAAAAAGCAUAAAAGAAAUGAGAGAAAAUUGAAGUACCUGUGGGUGCAUUGAUCUGCUAGAUUAGAGUUCUGGUAACCUGUUCUGGAUUCUUUUUCCCAGACUUGUUCACAAGUUCUUUCUCUUUGGUUACCAUGAAAAAAUUUAAAAAUAAAUAAAUAAAUUUAUCAAAAAUACACUUUCUCUCCACUUUUCAACAUUUUUUCACUCUUCAACCUUUUCUACAUUUUUUUAAAGAAAAAAAAAUCAUGGUAUCAAAAGUAAGAAAAUGAUUUUCUUUAUAUUUUUUUUUUCCUUUUUUUUUUUUUAGCACUUUUCAAGAAAGAAAAGUAAUCUAAAUCAUGCUUGAUUUCAGAAAAAUAAUAAUUAAUAAUUGAUUUACUAUACAAAAUAUAAAAGAAAAUAAAAUAUUAUUAAAAUUAGUUAAAAAGUUAUACAUAUUCAAAUUAUUUAAUUUUUUAACAAAAGAGGAAAAAUAAUUGAAAUAAAUUUAAAGAAAUAUGCAAAAAUAAUUUAUUUUAAAAAGAUUUAUAUUUUCAAGUUUUUAUCAAUCUAUAAUUUAUAAAUAAAAUUUUAAUGCAUAUUUAACAUUAAUAUCUUUUGGAAAAUAAAAUCUCUAAAUGAAAAAUUAAAAUGUGAAUCACCCAAUGGUGAUAUGCAAUGUCAUAAAAGCUUACCAAAAUGUUCUAAUAUUUUUAUUAAAAAUUAGUUUUAGAAAAUAAUAUAUAAAUAAAUGUAAUAAAUAAGAGUAUAAUUUUAUUUAAGAAAAAAAAAUAUGUUAAUGUAAAUUAAAAUUUUAUGUCUCAUUUGUAAUAAUUCUAAAAACUUUAUUAUUUUUUUAUUUAUAUAUUUUAUUAUUUUAUUCUUUUUUUUAAUAUAUAAAUUAAAGAAAUAGAAAAUAAAUUAAAAGUGACUUAUCGAUAUCAACCAUGAACUUGUUAUCAAUAGAUUUAAUUUGGUUAGGUUGAUCGAUAUCAACAAGUUACUUUUAAUUGAAUAAAAAAUGUUAAAUAUUUUGAUUUUUUUAUUCCGUCAAAAAAUAAAUAUAACAUUUAGAAAGGGAAGUAAAGAGAAAGAAAAUGGGGACACAAAUAAAGAACAUUUGAAAGGAAAUGAACUCCAUAUUAGUUAUAAAUAUAAAAAUAAUAAAGUAAACAUAAAAAGGUUGUUCAUUAAUUUAGCUUAUUUAAUAUUAAAAUGUUGUAAGUUUAUUCAAAAUGAUUCAAUUAAAGAGUCUAUAAAGUGAUUUUAAAUCUAUAGAAGUUUAGUAAAUUAAGUAAAUUAAAAAUAUGUUUUUGAUGUAUAAACCAUAUUAAUUAAUUUAUAAAAACUUUUAUAUUUUAAAAAUGAUAAUUAAACCAAUCAUUAUAUCAAUUAAAAAAAAUACAAUAACUCGGUUUUAAUAGUUCAUUAUUUUUGUUACAUCACUUGUGUCAUUAAUUUUAAUUUUUAUAUCUAUGUCACUUCAUAAUAAUAUUGUUUUAUAGUGACAUGAAACAUUACUCAACCAUAACCUAGAGUUGUUCAUAGCAUUGAGAGCCUUGAGCUUAAGAUCUAGAGUGGCUAAUGUCAUCCAUAGCUCUAAGUUGUUCAUAGCAUCUAAAGUCAUGAGCUAACAACUCAAAGUCUGUCAUGCCAACCACAACCUAGACCUAUUCAUUGCAUCUAGGGCCCUGAGACUACAAGUCAUAGUUGUGCAUGUCAUCCAUAACUUUGAGUUGUUUAUAGCAUCUAAAGCCCUAAGCUCACGACACAAAAUCAGUCAUGUCAACCACAACCCAACAUUGUUCACAAAAUUUAGAGCCCUUAUAAGCUCAUAACCAUGAGUAUCCCAUGUUAUCCAUAGCCCCUAACUGUUCAUAGCAACUAGAGCCUUGAGCUCAAAAUCGAGAGUCGUUCAUGUCAACAAUAACCCUCAGUUGUUCAUACUAUCUACAACGCUGAGCUCAUGACCUGUAGUCUUCGAUGUCAUUGAAAACUCUAAGUUGUUCAUAGCAAUAAGAGCCCUAAGCUCACGACUCGAAGUCGUUCAUUUGAACCAUAGCCUAAAUCUGUUCAUAGCAUCUAGAGCCUUGAGCUAACGACCUAGAGUAUCUCGUGUCUUCCAUAACCUUGAGCUAUUAAUAGCAUAUAGAGUCUGAGCUCACGACUUGAAGUCGUUCAUGUCAACUAUAAUCCAGAGCUGCUCAUAACAUUUAGAGCAUUGAGCUCAAGACCUAAAGUGGCUAAUGUCAUCCAUAGCCCUGAGUUGUUCAUAGCAUCUAUAACCAUGAGCUCACAACUCGGAGCCUUUUAUGGCAACUGUCAGCCCCUUAGACCCUUAACUUAACCAUGGAGGAAUAGGCAUCAUGGGUAGGCCUUGCACCCAUGAAAGCCUAAGAUGAAAGCAGGGAAAUCUUAGAGGUUUGGUGGUUCAAACUCCAGGAGCCAUGUGAGGAGGCCGCGGGCAAGCCAGACGCCCACCGCGCGUGCACCAAGGGCGAGUCAGACGCGUACCGCGCGCGCACUGUGGGCGAGUUAGACGCGCACCGCGCACGCACCACGGGCGAACCAGACGCGCAUCGCCCACGCACACGGGUGAGCCAGAUGCGCACCACGAGUAGGCCAGACACGCACCGCGAGCGAGCCAGACAUGCACCGCGUGCGCACCAGAUGGGCAUCGCAUGUGCACCUGACUUAGGUGGUGCAGAUGAAGGCUGACUUGGAAUUUUAAUUUAUAAUUAAAAUUAUAUUCCAUUAUGCAUCCUCAAACAUAUUGAUGUCUCCUCAAGAAACAAUGAAAAUGGCUCGUAUUGCUCUUUAAGGGGGGGGGGGGGGGGAGGGGACUCCAAGGAGGGAGCCCCCCAAAAAAACCUUGACCGCCCCAUGGGACGGCCUUAGCGUGCCAAAAACACCCCACGCGACUUGGGCACCCCCACCUGGGCCCCCCGACAUGGGUGUUGGGCACCCCCCGGCCCCAACGGCACGGGGCUUGGGGGGGCCCAUCCCCCCCCCCCGCAAGCCCAAGGGGGCCUAAACCUUGUGCGGGGAGCUAGCUGAAGAAACCAUGGGCACAAAGCCAUGGGCUAAUGGCUCCCAAAACUGACUCCCACCCAGAUGCCCACCCACAGCACAGGGGCGCAAUGCCCUGUGCACCAAAAAAGAUUAACCCUGGGCGCCAUGCCCUGGUUCGUUGCUGAAAAACUUGGAAACANNNNNNNNNNNNNNNNNNNNNNNNNNNNNNNNNNNNNNNNNNNNNNNNNNNNNNNNNNNNNNNNNNNNNNNNNNNNNNNNNNNNNNNNNNNNNNNNNNNNAAGAAACAAUGAAAAUGGCUCGUAUUGCUCUUUAAGGGGGGGGGGGGGGGUAGGUGACUCAAAGGAGGGAGCCACCAAGAGAAGCCUUGACCGCACCAUGGCACGGCCUUAGCGUGCCAAAGACACACGACGCGACUUGAGCACGCACACAUGGGCUCCACGACAUGUGUGUUGUGCACCCCGCGGCCGCAACGGCACGGGGCUUGGUGUGGCCUAUCCCCUCCCCGCGCAAGCACAAGGGUGCCUAAGCCUUGUGCGGUGAGCUAGCUGAUGAAACCAUGGGCACAAUGCCAUGGUCUAAUGGCUCCAAUAGCUGACUCGCACCGAGAUGCCUACGCACAGCACAGGGGCGCAAUGCCCUGUGCACCAAGAAGGAUUAGCCAUGGGCGCAAUGCCAUGGUUCGUUGCUGAUAAGCUUGGAAGCAAGCAACAAGCCCAAGCCAUGGGCACCUAGACAUGGCACGGGCUCAUUCAUCAGGGUGAGGAAGGCACACUGAUGCACCAAACGCUUGGUCAGAUGGGUGCUACACGCUGCCUAGCUCAGAGGGACUUGAUCAAAGACAUGCUGAUGGGCACCCAAUCACAAGAGGCGCCUUGAGGGGGAGGGGUCUGCUUGUUAGGGGGACUCACCAGCAGCUUGGCGAGCAAGACCUGAAGGAGAUGGCAGUGCAGCUAGCAAGUGGCAGCUAGCUCAGACAAACCAGUGACCAAGUCAAGCCGUCAUUGACCUAUAGUUGGCUGAAGGAUGAUGGCUGGUGCAAGUGUGUGGCAUGUGCAGGCCACUAUCUGGGGUGGUGGGUGGUUAUGUAGGGCAGUUGAGAGCAGUUCUGGCCAGUUGCAUGACCACCUAGUUGGCUCCAAGAUUUGAAUUGAGGGAAUUCAAAUUUGUAACUGCAGAGUGAGUCAUUUAAAUAGGGCUCCUACAGCCUUAAAACAAAGGGAGAGAGUUUGGGGAAAAGGGUUCCUUCUCGUAUGCCUUGGGUGAGUGCAUUGUACUCUGGUUCAAGAAGCAAUUUUGUUUUAUAAGAGUGAUUAAUACAAGUUGGGAAAGGAUUCCCGUAACCUUGUGUGUCCCUGUUGCUUGUUUAUUUCUGUAUUCUACUUUGUUCUUCUAAACGCUAGGAAGGGAAGGUUGGCUAAGGAAGGGUCCUUAGCACCACACACUCGUGAAAAAUUAAGUGAGAUAACCAGGGGUGUGACAGCAACCAUAGCUUAGAGUUGUUCAUUGCAUCUAGAGACCUAAGACCACGAGCCAUAGUCGUUCAUGUCAUCCAAAACUCUGAGUUGUUUAUAGUAUCUAGAGUCUUGAGCUCACGACAUAGAGUUAUUCAUGUCAAUCACAACCCAACAUUGUUCAUAGCAUUUGGAGCCUUAAGCUCACAACCAAGAGUAUUCCAUGUUAUCUAUAGCCCUUAACUGUUCAUAGCAACUAGAGCCUUGAGCUCGUAAUCGACAGUCGUUUAUGUCAACAAUAACUCUAAGUUAUUCAUUGCAUCUACAAGGUAUUAAGUCCAGUUGCUUAGAAGGGGGGGUUGGGUUGGGGGGUGGGGGAAUUAACCCAAAAUGUUUCCUUUGAGUUUGAUGUCUGAAUGACCAGCUCCUGCAAAUCUAAAGCUUCUACAACACCGCAUCUGCACUACAAUCCAUUGUUUCCAAGCAGAGCUCGACCGCUCCUGGCAGUACUGCUGGCUUGAACUUCAAGAGCUUUGAGUACUCAUUCAACAGAUGAAACAUGUAGUCAUACACAAAAUCCAUUUUUAGUUCCUCGUGAAUGAAGUUGCUUCCUGCCUUACCAAUUUCCUGGGCCUAAGUACACAAUUUCACAAAAUUUUGUUUCCAAGUUCAACUCUUACAAAAAAAAAAAAAAAAAAAUUCACAUCAACAAAUUAUUUUUAAUUCAUGUCACUUCUUUUCCUAACUUUUUUUUUUUUUUUUUGGUGUUUUUCAAAGCAAACAUAACCUAAGAUUUCAUGGGUUACCUUUUCAGGGUGAGUGUUACCCCAUUCAACAGCAAAUUUAAGAUCUCUACACUUGUUUCUAGGCCUAAUGGGCCAGUAGUGCAGCAAUGGCACCAUGCUUCUAGUGAAGAAAUCAUGGGGAUAAGGUUUUAUCAGAAGUGUCAUGGAGUCGCAUGCUAGGACAUAUUUUUCACUCACAGACCAUCCCCAUCCUUCUACAUAGAUCUUGUACCUUCAUGUGAAUAUAGCCCACAAGAAAAUUUCAAAAUUUUCUCAAGAAAAAAGCAUAAAAGAAAUGAGAGAAAAUUGAAGUACCUGUGGGUGCACUUAUAUGCUAGAUUAGAGUUCUUGAACCCUCCAUUGGAUUCUUUUUCCCAGUUCUGGUCACCUGUUAGGGUAUAGCUUUAGAAGCUGCAAAAUCCCCCACAUUGUGAACAAGUCUCUUGUUUCUUGUUUGAAAAGACUUCCUGUACUGCUCCACAUAGGCUUUUCCAUUCACUAUCACUAAUCUAAAAUCUGCAUCCCCUUCGGCACUUUCCACUGCAAAUCUUGAUAUUCCCGUACUCUUCCAUGGCCUCAAAUCUUCAUGGAUCCAUCUGAAGUACUCAGGACAUGCCUCUACUGAUAAUUUCCCGGUUACACUAGUCGUCGGAUGAUUGGCUGGGCAUGCCUGUGCCAUGCUCCCUAUGGUGCAAUUUACUAGGAUCUUAGGGAAAAUCCUUGGUUUUUUUGUGUUUGGAGCCGAAUUCUGAUAUGAAAAACUAGUCAUCAUAGGCUGGAAAACCAACUCAUCACCAAGAAAUAUAGAUACAAUUAGUCAAAGUCGUAAUUGAGUUAAUUGGUAAUUCAACAUGAUAUCGGAAAUUCUAUUCGAUAUUAGGAUUUAUCAUUUUAAUAAAUAAAAAAAUUGCAUGAUAUGAUUGAUUAUUAGAGUUCAAAUUAAGAACAAGACAUGAUGGGAAGAAAACAAAAAAAUGUGCAAAGAAAUAGGAGAAGCAAAGGACAAGAGGAUCAAGAAAGACUUACAAGGUGAGUCCAAUAGAGUAAGACAAGGAUAAUGAUAGAUAAUAUAACAAAGAAAUGGAAAACAUUUGAUGAAGUUCCUCUCAACCCCCUGUUCCCUUGAUGUUACCCACAUGGAGAAGAUGAUACACAAGAAUUUAGAGGAGAACACAAGUAUAAAAAAUAUAUUAAAAGUUAAAAUAAACAAAAGUAAAUAAAAAUAAAAAUAAAAAUGUACAACUAAUCAUAUUAAUUAAUUUUGAUUUUUCUAUAAUAAAUUAUUUUAUUGAUUUCCUUUUUCUCUUUAGGAUGCUUUGCUUUCUUAAUCUUCUUGCUUUUAUUUUUAUUAGUUGUCAUAAUGAAAAGAUCUUGCAGACCCACUAUUUGAGUUUUACUUUUAAUAAAUUUUAAUAUUUUUUAUUAGGAAUUGUUCAUUUCAACAUAAUGAAGGAACAAUUCUUAAAAAUAAAAAUUUUAAAAAGAAAAGUUAUUUUACAAAAAAAAAAUUAAAAAUUAAAAAUUGUGGAGGAUGUAAAAUGUAAAUUACUUUGAAAGAGGAUAUAGAUGAAAUAGAUAUUUUAAAAUAAAAAGGUGGAUAAAUAUUUAAAGUAAUAUAUCUAAAUCAUAUUGGACAAUGAUUUAUUUUCACGAUGAAUUUGAAUAUACCAGAUAAAAAAAUAACUAAUAUAAAUAAAUAAAUAAAUAUACCAUUUCUAGAAUGAAGAAUGUAUUUAUGUAUUGAAAAAUUGGAAAUUUUGGAAAAUGCACAUACCGAAAUAUCAUGAAGGGUGGUCAAAGUUGGAUUUGAUUUUAUUUGUAAUUCUACUUCUAAUCAAACCAAAUCAAUGGAUUAAGAAAAUAUAAUUAAUCAAAAUCAAACAAAUUGGUAUGAAUUAAUUGGUAAAUUAGUUUGGCCCCUAACUUUUUUUUUUUUCUAAUAUCCAUCUUUUUAAUUUUCCAUUUAAAUAAUUUCGAAAGUUCAAUAAAUAUACCUUUUUAAGCUCUAAAUCAUAAACUUUUUUAAAAUUUAUCCUUUAAAUCGUUUCAAAGUUUUACAUUUAAUUUCCUUCUUUAAUGGAGAUUAUUCGAUACCAUAUUGUAAAAUUCUAUUUGAUACAAAAAAAAAAAAAAAAAAAAAAAGGAGAUAGAAGAUUUAGGUCGCAUUUGGUAAUUAUUUUUUAAAAUUUUUUUCUAAUAUCUUAUUGAACAAAUGUCUAUUUGAGAACCUAAUAUUAUUUUAAUUUAUUUUCUAUGUUUUUAAAUAUGUUUUAAAAAUGAUUUUUGUAUAUAAUACUUUAUUUUUAAUUAUUUUUAUAUUUGUGUAAUUGAAAAUAACUAAAAAAUAUUCCCUAAAAAUAACCAUGUUCCAUAUUCUUAAGAAUAAAAAAUUAUUUCUAUUUUUUUAUUAUCAAAUGUAUUUUUUUUCCAAAAAAAAAAAAAACUAUUUUUGAAAACAGUUGACAAAUAGGGCCUCAAUAACCCUGUUCAUGUAAGAAUUUUCAAGGUAAUAGUAUAUUCAUUUUGUCAAUAAGUUAUAGGAAAUCACAUUAUAAGUUAUUAAAUGUUGGUCUAGUGAAAAUUACCAAUUAUAAUCUACAAGUUAGAACCAUCUAGGAGAGGCCUUCUAUUGCUUCUUAUUCUGCUUAUCCCAAUAUUCAUUCUCCCACAGCUCCACUUGCCUUGUUGCAUUGGCUUUUCUCUCAAUAAAAUCAUGGAACCCUGGAGGAUCAUAUGGAGGAGGCAAGCUGCAAGGAGUGGUAUCAGUAGGAUUCUUCUCUAGGGAUUCCUCCAUGAACUUCCUCCAUGCACCUUCUGCAGGGCAUGCCAUUGUUUCUGCACAAACCUCCACUGCUCCUGGUGGUAUGGUUGGCUUGAACUUCAAGAGUUUCGCGUACUCGUUCAAUAGAUGGAACAUGUAAUCAUACACAUAAUCCAUCUUCAGAUCCUCCUGAAUGAACUUGCUCGUCGUCUCCCCCAUUGUUUGUGCCUGCAGGCCCAUGAAACUCAAUAGUCCACGUUUUGACAAAACGUAAUGCAUAAAUACUAUUAUUUGAAAAUAAUAGAUACCUUAUCGGUGUGAUUGUUGCCCCAUUCCACAGCAAACCUAAGAUCCCUACACUUGUUGUUGUCCCUAAUAGGCCAAUAAUGUUGCAAUGGCACCAACCCCCUUAUGAAGAAAUCAUGGUAACGGGGCCUUAUGAGUAAGGUCAUGGAGUCACAAGCUAGAAUGUACUUCUCACUCACAGACCACGCCCAUCCCUCUAUAUAAAUCUUGUAUCUUCAUGCCAAUAGCCCAAAGACAAAACCGUAGAGAACUUAUCAGCAUAAAUAUUACAACAAACUAUGAAUUGGGACACUGGAUUUGAGGGCUUACCUGUGGGUGCAUUGGUCCUCUAAGUUAGAUUGCCUGUACCCUAUUUUAGAUUGUUGGCCCCAGUCCUGAAACAAGUAGAAAAUGUAUUAGGCUGGAAUGAAUUGAGGUAGAAGAAGGGGUGAGGCAUAGGAUGAGGGAAUAGGAAUGUACCUGAAGGUAUAGGCGAGUAUUCCAGUCAGCUUUGUCGGAGACAUUGCAUUUGAGAAGAUCACCCCUUGUUGGAGCCACAUGGGGGUUUCCUCUCCAGUAUGCCAAGGGGACCCUGUCCUUCCAUUUGGUUCUUCUGUUGCCUUCUUUUAUGUCCUUUAGCACAUUUCUCCACGGCUUUAUAUUGGUCUCAGCCCUAUAAGAGCAAAGUUUAACCUCUAUCAAUUUUCACAUUAAGGGGAAAACCCCCCAAGAGGAGGCCAAUUUGCCCAAAUGAAAUGUGGGUUGUGGGGUGAUGGAUAUGCUAAUAAAGGAAACACAGAAAGUCAGGAAGAAAGUGAGGAAGGACCCCCCUAGCAGGUCCAAAAGACCCAGAUUAUGAGGUGGGGAAAAACAGAGACCAAAAUGAAGAAACCCAUUUCAAUUUUCAAGGCCCAACUAGACAUGCAAGGUGGGAUAUAGAGAAAUGAAUAUGCAAACAAUGGGAAAAAAAUGAGGAAGAAGGCACUUACCACCCCCAGAAAGACCAGUCUGGAAACACAAUGUCCAAGCUCCAAUCAUCUCCACAGUACCGGAACAAUGGCGGUGGGGCAGCGUUCGGGCCCCGGAAGUCUCUCAUUCGAACAACAGGCCUAUCAUCACAAUCAAACAUGAGCUCCAAGUCAGGCAGCCUUCCAGGGUACCAUCUCAGGAGCUGCAAAAUGCCCCACAAGGUGAACAUAUCUCUAGUCUGUAUGGACUUUCUGAACUUCUCAACAUAGGCCUUCCCAUCAAUGAUCACAAGUCUGAAAUGGGCCGUUCUUUGGGCCCGGUCCACCAUGUCCCUGGUGAUUCCGGUCUGCUUC
RNAcentral lists this long non-coding RNA (18022 nucleotides) under Vitis vinifera (wine grape). RNAcentral describes it as "long non-coding RNA (VVIN_LNC005252)". The record is from RNAcentral. Lineage: Eukaryota; Viridiplantae; Streptophyta; Magnoliopsida; Vitales; Vitaceae.